UACGUAGGUGGCAAGCGUUGUCCGGAUUUAUUGGGUUUAAAGGGUGCGUAGGCGGGUAUUUAAGUCAGAGGUGAAAGACGGCCGCUCAACGGUCGCAGUGCCUUUGAUACUGGAUAUCUUGAGUGCAGACGAGGUCUGUGGAAUGGAUGGUGUAGCGGUGAAAUGCUUAGAUACCAUCCAGAACACCAAUUGCGAAGGCAGCAGACUAGGGUGCCACUGACGCUGAGGCACGAAAGUGCGGGGAUCAAACAGG
This 253-nucleotide ribosomal RNA is filed under the name uncultured bacterium. Its description in RNAcentral is "partial 16S ribosomal RNA". It matches the Rfam family "Bacterial small subunit ribosomal RNA", at positions 524 to 776 of the family's 1533-position model. The record is from RNAcentral.